Molecule: unclassified non-coding RNA, 343 nt
Filed under: soil metagenome
Description: partial contains 5.8S ribosomal RNA, internal transcribed spacer 2, and large subunit ribosomal RNA
Rfam family: 5.8S ribosomal RNA (bases 1-120)
Source: RNAcentral
GAUGAAGAACGUAGCGAAAUGCGAUAGGUAAUGUGAAUUGCAGAAUUCAGUGAAUCAUCGAAUCUUUGAACGCACAUUGCGCCCGCUAGUAUUCUGGCGGGCAUGCCUGUCCGAGCGUCAUUUCAACCCUCAAGCCCCCGGGCUUGGUGUUGGGGAUCGGCGAGCCUCCGCGCCCGCCGUCCCCUAAAUCUAGUGGCGGUCUCGCUGUAGCUUCCUCUGCGUAGUAGCACACCUCGCACUGGGAAACAGCGCGGCCACGCCGUUAAACCCCCAACUUCUGAACGUUUGACCUCGGAUCAGGUAGGAAUACCCGCUGAACUUAAGCAUAUCAAUAAGCGGAGGA